RNAcentral lists this ribosomal RNA (567 nucleotides) under uncultured bacterium. RNAcentral describes it as "bacterial SSU rRNA". It matches the Rfam family "Bacterial small subunit ribosomal RNA", at positions 339 to 906 of the family's 1533-position model. The record is from RNAcentral.
CUACGGGAGGCAGCAGUGAGGAAUAUUGGGCAAUGGAGGAAACUCUGACCCAGCCAUGCCGCGUGCAGGAAGACGGCCCUAUGGGUUGUAAACUGCUUUUGUACGAGAAUAAACCCUUCCACGUGUGGAAGGCUGAAGGUACCGUACGAAUAAGGAUCGGCUAACUCCGUGCCAGCAGCCGCGGUAAUACGGAGGAUCCAAGCGUUAUCCGGAUUUAUUGGGUUUAAAGGGUCCGUAGGCGGGUUUUUAAGUCAGUGGUGAAAGCCUGUAGCUUAACUAUAGAAUUGCCAUUGAAACUGUUAAUCUUGAGUCUGGUCGAGGUGGAUGGAAUAUAUCAUGUAGCGGUGAAAUGCUUAGAUAUGAUAUAGAACACCGAUUGCGAAGGCAGUUCACUAGGCCAGAACUGACGCUGAGGCACGAAAGCAUGGGUAUCGAACAGAAUUAGAUACCCUGGUAGUCCAUGCUGUAAACGAUGAAUACUCGAUGUUGGCGAUACACUGUCAGCGUUCAAGCGAAAGCAUUAAGUAUUCCACCUGGGGAGUACGAUCGCAAGGUUGAAACUCAAAG